RNAcentral lists this non-coding RNA (30 nucleotides) under Homo sapiens (human). Lineage: Eukaryota; Metazoa; Chordata; Mammalia; Primates; Hominidae. The record is from RNAcentral.
UGAGUAAACCAUAGUAUUCGAGGUCCAAGU